This 1240-nucleotide long non-coding RNA is filed under the name Anser brachyrhynchus (Pink-footed goose). RNAcentral describes it as "lncRNA (ENSABRG00000021266.1)". Lineage: Eukaryota; Metazoa; Chordata; Aves; Anseriformes; Anatidae. The record is from RNAcentral.
GGUCUCAGAAGCUCUCAGAGGCUGUUUAAUUAAACUUCCAUAUCUUCAUAUGAACUUUCAGAAUAAUGAAUUUAAUGAAUUUAGUUGGAGCUCUGACACAGUUUGGUCAAAGAGAUCAACCCAAUCACUGCUAAGGGUUGGUAGCCUGUUUUAACUAGUUGGCUUGAAAGAUAAGACCUGGCCUGAGGGCAGUUCAGGCUGUGCUGGUAAGUGCUUCUCUAAACGAUGCUUAGCUGCCUGCCUUGUGAAGGAUCUCUGCAGUCUGGAGAUGGUGGUGCUGCAGCUGCCUUAGAUCUAACCUUUCCAGGUGCAUCACAAGCAUUCCUGUUGUGAAUCAAAUCAGCUUUUGGAAAUUGGUACUAGAUAAUGAAUGGAUUUAUUUGUAUCACCUCAAGAUAACUACCUGCUAUGAUUUUAUUUUUAAGGAAGAGCUUAACUUCAUGCUGCAGUCCCUUGCUGCGUAACCUGUAUGCUUCUCAGCACAGCUACAUAAGGAGCUGCCUGGAGGAGGGCAAGAAAUGUCUCGGUGUCUUAUAUGCCCAAAUAUGGAACAGUGCUUUUUCUUGCCUUAUGGAUAAGGAGUACAGUGUUGUUUGAUCCCUACAUACAGGGUUUGGGAUACGCAGGAGCUGGACCCUGAAAGGCCACCAGGUAGACAGCUGUUGGACUUAACAGACAGUGAGGCUGACAGUACAUCAGAUAGGUUUCUUCUGAAAAUCUGCCCAGUUCCUAUUUAAAAAAAAAAAAAAAAUUCAAAGUAAACACAUUCUUGCAAAAUAUUUUGAUUUUUACAUUUGGAGUGUUUUUCCAUCAAAAAAAUCCAUUAGAAGUGUUCCAGUAACUUAUUUUUUCCCCAGUUAGAUUUCCUAGCAGAGCUGAAGUGAAAGCAAUCAUCAUUUAGUGAGCAUUUUCUGUGAUAAAGUGUGAGGUGUCUCGGAGGGAAAUGCCGUGUGUUGCAGAACAAUGCUACUACUUGGUAUCAAUGAUAAUCCUGUUGCAAGCUUUCAGUAUCUCUUACUGGCCACUUUGCAUGCCUGGUUCCAGAACUUUAUUCCCAUAAUUGGAGAAAUCUUUGCUGGUAAAGCUGUACAUUCAUAUCAUGUUGCAUAGGUGACUUACAAUUUCGACUUAUGUGUCACAAUAAGAAAUGAGGUCCUUCAAACAAAAGGAUAAAUUUAGUACACCACAAAAUAUUUUCAGAAGCUAAAUUUUACUAGUGAGAUGUCUAUUUUUAUGGGGG